This 253-nucleotide ribosomal RNA is filed under the name uncultured bacterium. Its description in RNAcentral is "partial 16S ribosomal RNA". It matches the Rfam family "Bacterial small subunit ribosomal RNA", at positions 524 to 776 of the family's 1533-position model. The record is from RNAcentral.
UACAGAGGGGGCAAGCGUUGUUCGGAAUUACUGGGCGUAAAGCGUGCGCAGGCGGUUCGACAAGUCCGAUGUGAAAGCCCCGGGCUCAACCUGGGAAUGGCAUUGGAAACUGGCGAGCUUGAGUGUGGCAGAGGGGGGUGGAAUUCCGCGUGUAGCAGUGAAAUGCGUAGAGAUGCGGAGGAACACCGAUGGCGAAGGCAGCCCCCUGGGCUGACACUGACGCUCAGGCACGAAAGCGUGGGGAGCAAACAGG